AGGAAGGUGGCAGAGAUAUGCGUUGGGCUGUAGGCCCAACUACGAGGCUUACAGGUCUCCCUUCUAA
RNAcentral lists this transfer RNA (67 nucleotides) under Nipponacmea fuscoviridis. RNAcentral describes it as "tRNA-Tyr". The record is from RNAcentral. Lineage: Eukaryota; Metazoa; Mollusca; Gastropoda; Lottiidae.